GACGAACGCUGGCGGUGUGCUUAACACAUGCAAGUGGUGCGACGAACCAGAGCUUGCUCUGGGGCAAAGCCGCGAACGGGUGAGUAACACGUGGGUAAUCUACCCCGAUGACCGGGACAACCCGAGGAAACUCGGGCUAAUACCGGAUGUGGUGCACAGGCUGAAGCCUGUUCACUAAAGGUAGCUUCGGCUUCCGCAUUGGGAGGGGCCCGCGGCCCAUUAGCUUGUUGGUGGGGUCAAGGCCUACCAAGGCAACGAUGGGUAGCUGGUCUGAGAGGACGAUCAGCCACACUGGGACUGAGACACGGCCCAGACUCCUACGGGAGGCAGCAGUGGGGAAUCUUGCGCAAUGCGCGAAAGCGUGACGCAGCAACACCGCGUGAGGGAAGACGGCCUUAGGGUUGUAAACCUCUUUCAGAUGGGACGAAGGUUGUCCGGUGAAUAGCCGAGAUGAUUGACGGUACCGUCAGAAGAAGCUCCGGCUAACUACGUGCCAGCAGCCGCGGUAAUACGUAGGGAGCGAGCGUUGUCCGGAAUCAUUGGGCGUAAAGAGCACGUAGGUGGAUCAAUUAGUCUGCUGUGAAAGUCAAAGGCUCAACCUUUGAAAGCCGGUGGAUACUGUCGAUC
This 627-nucleotide ribosomal RNA is filed under the name uncultured bacterium. RNAcentral's name for it is "bacterial SSU rRNA". It matches the Rfam family "Bacterial small subunit ribosomal RNA", at positions 28 to 641 of the family's 1533-position model. The record is from RNAcentral.